RNAcentral lists this ribosomal RNA (389 nucleotides) under Salmonella enterica. RNAcentral's name for it is "partial 23S ribosomal RNA". It matches the Rfam family "Bacterial large subunit ribosomal RNA", at positions 804 to 1191 of the family's 2925-position model. Lineage: Bacteria; Pseudomonadati; Pseudomonadota; Gammaproteobacteria; Enterobacterales; Enterobacteriaceae. RNAcentral also lists the same sequence under 4 other names. The record is from RNAcentral.
AUGACCUGUGGCUGGGGGUGAAAGGCCAAUCAAACCGGGAGAUAGCUGGUUCUCCCCGAAAGCUAUUUAGGUAGCGCCUCGUGAAUUCAUCUCCGGGGGUAGAGCACUGUUUCGGCUAGGGGGCCAUCCCGGCUUACCAACCCGAUGCAAACUGCGAAUACCGGAGAAUGUUAUCACGGGAGACACACGGCGGGUGCUAACGUCCGUCGUGAAGAGGGAAACAACCCAGACCGCCAGCUAAGGUCCCAAAGUCAUGGUUAAGUGGGAAACGAUGUGGGAAGGCCCAGACAGCCAGGAUGUUGGCUUAGAAGCAGCCAUCAUUUAAAGAAAGCGUAAUAGCUCACUGGUCGAGUCGGCCUGCGCGGAAGAUGUAACGGGGCUAAACCAUG